Molecule: long non-coding RNA, 1242 nt
Organism: Labeo rohita (rohu)
Lineage: Eukaryota; Metazoa; Chordata; Actinopteri; Cypriniformes; Cyprinidae
Exons: 4
Source: RefSeq, a predicted model, not a curated record
UAACAAACUUGUGAUUUUAAUAAUGCAUUAGUAAAUGUUGAAAUUAACAUUAAGAUUAAUAAAUGCUGGUAAAGUAUUGUUCAUUCUUAGUUCUCGUUAACUAAUGUAGUUAACUAAUGUUAACUAACAAACCUUAAUGUGAAGUGUUAGCUUAAAAUGUUUAAAAUGUAUAAUUGUUACGUGCAGUACAUACACGUAGAGUACAUGUGCAGUAUAUAAUCCAACAAUACAUCCCAUAUAAAUUCACCAACUUCCCAGUAAAAUGAAUAAAAGAUUCUUUAUGGAAUACACAUUAGAGAUAAUUUGCGGCCAUGGCAGUGUAUCAUAGCUUUAAUCAGAGUAACAGUGCUCAUCGCGGCCCGCACCGCUCCGGCAUCGCCAUUCAAGACGUCCCAAAGGUUUCACCCACAAAGACAGAUGCGGUGCAACGGCACACAGAGCAGGGCCUUUCUCUGCUCACGGGUAAAAGCAGGAGAGGAAAUCAGAUGCCUUGUUGGGGGAAAUAGCUUUAGCAGAUGGGGAAAAGAGUGUGGAGUCAGGGCCUUAUUUAGAGAGAGCGGAGAAGACGAGAGACGCUCAUUCUCAACUCAUCUCUGUCACACCGCCGACGUCUCGGGUAAUCUGGUGUAGACUGACUCACUCCACAACGAUUCACCGAAUCUCUAUCUCCGUGAUCGAAGCAGGGAUGUGUCUGUCUCCUUCAGGAAAGGUCCUGUUUUUCCUCAUAAGGAAGAAUUAGCCUCUCAGACAUUACCACAGCGAGCCUGCGGCGUGCAGCUUUAGGGCGAGUGUUUCCCUGCUUCACCACAGUCUGAGGCCCAACGGCCCCCGUCCUGCCCUUUAAUUAGAUUACCCAACAUUCCCAAUUUCGUCGGGCGACGCGUUGGGCAGCUCUUAGCUUUAGAGAGUCGUAAUACGGUGUCUUAAAGAGAGGAAAUGACCUAAAUGGCUGUCGGACACGAUUUUGUUACAGCCGAUGGUGUGCUGACAAAAAUCACAUCUGUGAAAUCACAGGCGUCAGGAUUUAAAAACGCUUGCUGAAAUGACGCUUCGUGCCGUGCUGUGACUGAACAGAAUGGAGAGACGUCAUUGGAAGUAAAUGAAGGACCAUCACACAUAUUUGGAACAUGAGGGAGAGAGGUGCUGAAUUAGAGUGAUGUUCGGUCAUUAAUCAUCAUUGCAACACCAAAGAAGGCAACUGAACAGACCACAAGGCAUGUUUGAGACCUCUCCACACAUCAG